ACUUAUUACAACGAAUGUCUCAAAAGAGAACUUAUUACACUAAUAUGGCUUAAGGCCAUCUAAAAACGAUAACAGCGGAAGGCUUGGAAGAUAAAGUGAGUCCAUCAAACUCCAACGGCAUAGCUGAGUGAACGACAACGACCUAUGGCACCUUACUCGUCGUCUGAAAGCUCCUUACACAUAGAGAAUGAACAGAGUAAAUGCUAUCACUACAUGCCCAUAUGGCUGGUGGAAAGCUCUAUGGUUACAGUUUUGCAUAAAGCUAAUUUUUCCCUACAUCAAAGGAAUAAAUUUUUGUUUAACUAUCAUGGUGGUUGUUAAAAAUUGAGAACGUUCCUCCAACUCAAUCCCAAUUAAACAUCAUCAUUAAACCUAAUCAAUUAAUUUAGAGUGAUGAGAUCAACAUGAUAAUCCAAGAACCACAUACUCAAGAUGUCCAUAACCGGGGACACGGCUAACCAUGAUUAGUUUAUACACUCUGCAGAGGUUUGCGCACUUUUCCCCACAAGACUCGAUCUCCUCCGUUGAAUUUCUUGCACUACAUGAUGUUUGAGAAACGGAUGACCGAGACACAGUCUUUCAGAAGCAUUAACUCUCUACAUUGGGUAGACUGUACCAUCUACAACCCACUACAUCUGCUAGUCUACCUCUUCAAGAGCUCACGCAACUUACUCAACUAUGCCAGAGCCCAUAUAUGCUUGCGGCUACACACGGAAGUUUCUAGCAUGAAUAAUCUUAUGAUCCCUUUGAGCCUGGGUGGCGAACGGUAGGAUGAUCACACGGGUACUCCGGGAUAUCCUAGGACAACACUGGAUUCUCCUAGUGCCCUGACAACCACUGGGUACUCCAGGGUGCCUCAACCAAUCCACCCAGAUGUGUAUUUAAGUAGCCACCUUAAGUUAACCAUUAAUUAACAAUACUCACAUCUGUCAUGGAUACACUCACCCAAUCCACGUCUACGAGCAUAGCAUAGCAAUCCUGAGCAUAACGUAGAAGUAACUCCCAAAGGUUUGAUACUAAAAGGGCAAUAGGUUCUACCUCAUCAUCUACUUCCCAAAACCCACAUGUUAUAACAGAUCCUAACCAUGCAAUGUUCGAGGGUUGAUCUAAUGCAUAAAAACUGGGUAAUAAAGGGAUAUGAUCAAAGUGUUACUUGCCCUGCUGAUGAUCCGCAAAACCUAGAGACUCGUAGUAGCACGCUUCGCACUCCGGGUACUCUAUCGCAAACAAACAAUAACAUAAAUAAGCACUCAACUAGAAGCACGGGUAAAACUCAAAUAAGAGAUCUAACUAGAAAGUUCAACUGAAGAACUCCGGUUUGCAAAAAGAAUCAAAUCAAACGGAGCAACGAAACUCAACUACGAAAGAAAGAAGAUUUGUUUACUAAUCUGGACUAAAGUCAAAUUUUACAGUACCGAAAUCUUGUUCAAGUUGGUUAAAAAGAAAAAGGGCUUCGAGAUGAAGAUCUAGGCGCUUGUUUCACCUGAAUCGGAUAAACAAGCGAAAAGAUAAACUAAAACGAAGAUGAGGGCAGAAAUCACGAUCGAAAAUAAUUGCGGAAGUACCCUGAAAAAAUAAAACUAGACGAACAGGCUAACGAACGAACGUUCGCUGUCUGCGGCUAACAGACGAACAGCGUUCGUUAAACCGAACGUACGGACGAACGUCCGCUAUUUAACUAAACCGAAAAAACCAAACCAAUCUGAAAAAAACUAAAAACUAGAUCUAGGGUUUCGAAAAAAAAUGAUCGGUUUUUCCGGGAGAACCGGCGGCGGGCAGCGGCUACCUCGGCGGGGUCGACGGUGGCGGGGCUGCUCCGGCGGCGGGGUUGACUGCGGCGGCUCCGGCGGCGGGACGGGGCGACGGCGAAGCUAGUGGCGGCGUGGGCGGGGCUAGGCUUUCGGGGGCGGCGGCUGGGGUGGCUGCGGGCCUCGGUCCUCGGCUUAUAAAGCCGGCCGGGUUACUGUCUGCCUCGGGCACGGCCCGGUUAGGUCGGUUAGCUUUUUUUUUAAAUAAAUCCUGACGCAGAAAAACUAAUAAAAGAAAUACUAAACGGAGUCCAAAAAUCCUGAAAUAAAUUUUCUCGGUCCUGUAAUAAUAUUUCGGAGAAAGUGAACAUUUAUUUGGGUCUCUAAUGCAAUUUUGAAAAACGCAUUUUUUUCCUAAUUCAAAUAAAAUAGCAAUAAAACUCCAAAUAAAAUUCUUAUUUGAUUUUAAUAUUUUCCUCCAAUACUUCUUUAUUUUGGAGAAGUCAUUUUAUCCCCUCUCUUUUAUUUUAACAUUGGAAAUAUUCGAAGAGAAAAUAAUUAAAACCAAAUGAUCCUCUUUUCAAAAUUUGAGAAAAACUCAAUUAUGAAUAUAACGAAAUCCCCAACUCUCUCCGUGGGUCCUUGGGUUGCUUAGUAUUUCUAGGAUCAACCAAAAAUGCAAUAAAAUAUGAUAUGCAAUGAUGACCUAUUGUAUAACAUUCCAAAUUGAAAAUUUGGGAUGUUACAAACCUACCCUCCUUAAAAUGAAUCUUGCCCUCGAGAUUCGGGUUGGCUAGAAAAUAGGUGCGGGUGGUGCUUCACUAAGUCUUCCUCUCGUUCCCAGGUGGCUUCAUCCGCGGUAUGGUGGCUCCACUGAACUUUGCAGAACUUGAUAAUCUUGCUGCGUGUGACUCGGCUGGCAAACUCGAGAAUCUUCACUGGUUUCUCCUCGUAGGUCAAAUUGUUAUCCAACUGAAUUGCUUCCAGUGGCACUGUAUCUCUCAGAGGAAUAUCGGCCAUCUCUGCGUGACACUUAUUCAAUUGGGAAACGUGGAACACAUCGUGAACUCCUGACAAUCCCUCGGGCAGUUCCAACUUGUAAGCAACUUCUCCCAUACGUCCCAAAACUUUGUAUGGUCCCACAAAACGUGGUGCUGACUUUCCCUUAACUCCAAAACGCUUAACUCCUCGAAGUGGGGACACACGAAGAUAUACUCUGUCUCCAAAUUCGUAAAUUGUCUCCUUGCGUUUAGAAUCCGCAUAGCUCUUCUGCCUGGACUGGGCUACCUUGAGUCUAUUGCGAAUUAGUUUAACCUUCUCUUCAGACUCCUUAAUCAAAUCUGGUCCAAACAACUGACGGUCUCCAACUUUAUCCCACACCAACGGUGUCCUGCACCUCCUUCCGUACAAAGCUUCGAAAGGGGCCAUCUUCAAACUGGCUUGAUAACUGUUAUUUUAAGAGAACUCUGCAUACGGCAGAUUGUCGUCCCAACUAGGUCCAUAAUCUAGCGCACAAGCUCUCAACAUGUCCUCCAGAAUCUGAUUGACUCUCUCAGUCUAUCCAUCUGUCUGUGGAUGAAAGGUUGUACUGAACUCUAGCCUGCUACCCAAAGUCUCAUGCAACUGAUUCCAAAACUUUGAGGUAAACUGGGUUCCUCUAUCUGAUACAAUGGUCCUCGGAACUCCAUGCAGACAUAUGAUCCUGGUCAUGUAUAUCUUUUGCCAACUUAGCACUGGUGUAAGUGGUCUUCACUGGGAUGAAAUGAGCUACCUUCGUCAACCGAUCGACUACAACCCACAUCGAGGCAUAGCCUGCAUGAGUCCUGGGCAAACCCGUGAUAAAAUGCAUGCCUAACUUAUCCCACUUCCAUUCGGGUAUCGGCAAUGGCUGUAGCAAACCUGCUGGCUUCUGAUGCUCUGCCUUUACUCUCUGGCAUACAUCGCAUACCGCUACAUACUCGACAAUAUCCUUCUUCAUCCCGGUCCACCAGAAAUUGUCCUUCAAAUCCAGAUACAUCUUGGUAUUUCCUGGGUGAAUCGAAUACGGUGAAUCAUGGGCCUCCUGCAGAAUCAACUUCCUAAUCUCGGGGUCAUUAGUCACAUAUACGCGAUCCUCAAACCAUAAAGUAUCGUGCUCAUCCUCAAGAAAUCCUUUAGCCUUUACUUUGCUCAUCCUUUCCUUUAUUUCGGCAAUCUCUUUGUCAGUCUUCUGAGCUUCUCUGAUCUUAUCCAUCAAAGCAGACUGAAUUUCCAAUGCUGCUACAUAACCUCUCGGAACUAUUUCCAAACAUAGCUCGCGAAGAUCCUCUGCUAACUCCUUAGGUAAUCCUCCGGUCAUGAGUGUAUUAACAUGACUCUUGUGACUCAACGUAUCGGCUUCCAGGUUAGCCUUUCCGGGAUGGUAGUGCAACUUCAUAUCAUAAUCCUUAAUGAGCUCCAACCAUCUCCUUUGCCUGAGAUUCAACUCCUUCUGCGUGAAAAUAUACUUCAAACUCUUGUGAUCCGUGUAUACCUCAAUGUGGUUUCCGAUGAGAAAAUGUCUCCAGGUCUUCAAUGCAUGAACUACGGCUGCUAACUCCAAAUCAUGUGUAGCAUAAUUUAGCUCAUGAGGUUUAAGUUUUCGUAAGGCAUAUGAAACAACUCUUCCCUCGUGCAUAAGCAUUGCGCCAAGUCCGCGAUGAGAAGCGUCGCAAUACACUUGAUAAUCCUUGCGUUGAUCUGGAAGAAUCAACACUGGGGCUGUAACCAAACGCUUCUUCAACUCCUGAAAACUGGCCUCACAUUCCUCAGUCCGAUUGAACUUGGUGUCCUUCUUCAACAACUCCGGCAUGGGCUUUGCAAUCUUAGAGAAAUUCUCAAUGAACCUUCUGUAGUACCCUGCGAGUCCAAGAAAACUCCGGAUCUCUCCAACCGACGUGGGUGUUUCUGGCGUGGCGUGUCGGUUGCACUAGCGUAACAUGGUCAUGUUGGUCGCGGGAUCGAGUCAGGAGCUGCGCUCUUUGGUUUUUCAACCUUGGUGGGGUCUACUGCUAUUCCCUCUCCGGAUAUAACAUGUCCGAGGAAUCCAACUUCCUUCAACCAAAACUCACACUAGCUGAACUUGGCAUAUAACUGAUGUUCCCUGAGCUUCUCGAGAACCAAACUCCUCUUCAUUCUUCGAGUAGACCAAUAUAUCAUCAAUGAACACCACGACGAACUUAUCCAAGAACUCCAUAAACACCUUGUUCAUCAUGUUCAUGAAAUAGGCAGGCGCGUUAGUCAGACCAAAUGACAUGACGGUAUACUCACAUAGCUUGUACCUUGUGGUAAAAGUUGUCUUAGGUAUAUCCUGCUCUCAAAUCUUCAAUUGGUGGUAUCCUGAUCGCAGAUCGAUCUUGGAAAAUACUUUAGCUCCUUGCAACUGGUCAAACAAAUCAUUGAUCAUCGGCAGUGGGUACUUGUUCUUGAUCAUCACUUCAUUCAAUGCACGAUAAUCAACAACCAUCCUUAAUGAUCAAUCCUUCUUGUCCACUAGAAGUACUGGUGAUCCCCAAGGUGUUGAACUUGGGCGAAUAUAACCUUUAUCCAGUAACUCCUUAAUUUGCUUCUUAAUCUCCUCCAAAUACUUGGCGGGCAUCCGAUACGGUCUCUUAGAUAUUGUCCCUGUGCCUGGCAAAAGCUCAAUCAAAAACUCAAUGCCUCUAUCCGAUGGCAUGCCUGGCAAGUCCUCUGGAAAUACAUCAGGGAAAUCCUUCACCACUGUACUUCCUCCUGUACAACUCCUGAUAAGGAAUUUACUUGAGUCCUCUUCGGCACAUGCCGGGAUACAUACUUAAUCCUUCUUCCUUCUGGGGUGGUGAGCAUAAUCGACUUACUGGCACAGUCAAUGUUCCCUCCAUACUUUGAUAACCAAUCCAUGCCUAAUAUUAUAUCCAGUCCUUGUGACUCCAAUACUAUUAGGUCUGAGGGGAACACGUAGUUACCAAUCCUUAAUGGUAACCGAUCACACCAUAGGCUGGCCAUAUACUCUGCUCCUGGCAAGGUUACUAACAUGGGUGACCUAAGGGCUUGGGUUGGCAAGUUAUACUUAUUCACAAAUCCCUUUGAUAUGUAUGAAUGUGAUGCACUAGUAUCAAAAAUAACGAUUGCAGUAAAUGACUUAACCAAAAACUUACCUAUAACUGCAUCGGGUUGUGUUUCAACCUCCUCCACGCUAACAUGGUUCACUUGUCCCCUGUUGAAAGGGUUAGGUUUCUUCCCAGAGCUUCCAUUGCCAUUUCCAUUCUUUGCUUCAGAACACUCUGUGGCGUAAUGUCCAUUCUUCCCGCACUUGAAACAAGUAAUGUGACUUAGAUCCUUCUUGGCAGGCGUUGCUAGGUUGGAACGGUUCUGGCCGUUGCUUCGUCCAUUCCCAUUUCCAUUCUUGGGGCCACUAUGGUUAUGCAAACUUCCUCCAUUGGAAUUAUGGCCUCCAUUGUUAUGGUGAACGUGUCCUCCCGAGUUCGGGGUAAACCGGGGCCUCUGCUGAGCUCCUGAAUUGUACUUCCCUUGUCCAUACUUCCUCUUGCGGUUGUCUAUCUGCUGCUGCUUCCCUUCUAUCAUGAGAGCUCUAUCUACCAACUCCUAGUAGUUGUUGAAGGUUGCCACCAUCAACUGCAUGCUCAGCUCAUCAUUCAGUCCUUCCAGAAACUUCUCCUGCUUAGCGGCAUCUGUAGCUACGUCAUCAGGGGCAUAACGUGCUAACUUACUAAACUCAUCCACAUACUGGCCCACUGUGCGUCCUCCUUGGUGCAAGUUGCGAAACUCGCGCUUCUUCAUGUUCAUAGCUCCAGCUGAAACAUGGGCAGUGCAGAAUGCCUGCCGAAACUGGUCCCAUGUAACAGUGUCAAUGGGGCUGUGAAAUUCUCCCACCAUGAUGCUGCUGGUCCAUCAAGCUGAUGUGCGGAAAAACGCACUCUCUCCGCAUCUGUGCAUCCUGCAGUGGUCAGCUCCCUUCCAAUCUUGCGGAGCCAAUCAUCUUCAACAAUCGGCUCGGUGCUACUAGAGAACACCGGCAGAUUCAGCCUUAGGAAACGGGCUAAGUGAUCAACAGGUGGUGGUGGUGGUGGUGGGUUGUUGUUGUUGUUGUUGUUCCCUAGGUUCUGAUUCUGAACUAGUAGCUGCAUCAAGGUAUUCUACUGCUAGAUCAACUGAGUGAGCUCCGGUGGGAAAGCAAAUCCAUUGUCACGUCUCGGAGGCAUCUGAUGGGUUUAGAAAAGGUGAGAAAACAGAAUAGAAUGAGGUCUAGAGGGAAAACACUACCCAUAUGCACAUGAGACAAACACAAUCAUAUCACUUCAAUCAAUUCAAACAAGGGCAUACAAUCGAUCUAACUAUCGUUACAAAAGUUCUCGGACUAUACUAUAUACAUGGGGGAAUACUACUACUGAUAUGGUGGUCGACUAGAAGUUCUAAUCGGUAGAAGACUUCAUGAUAUCUGCUCCAGCUUCAUCAACAUAGUCAUCAUCGCUAUCGUCGGGGUCCGAGUCGGUGUCGUCGAUGAUGAUGUAGUCCUCCGAACGAAUAUCCUUGGAAUCGUCGUCAUCUCCUCCUAGCGCGGGGUCUCCCAUGAAUACUCCUAGCUUCCUUGUCAGGUCGUCAUUCUUCUCCACGAGUAUCAUCAUUGCCGCAUCAUAUCCAUCGCGUGUAGACUUGAGUUCUUCCUCUAGCUCCGUGAUCCUGGUCAUUGCCUUCUUCAGAUCUAUCAUGCCUGCGCACAUCUGAUUCUCCUGGCGACGAAUGUGCUGGUUUAACUCCUGGAUGAAAGCUACAAUGGACCUAUCCCUCCUGGUGCUGAUCAUCUCCCAUUGCUCAUCUCAGCGCCCACAAAUUUGGUAGAUAGUAUCCUUGAGAUCCUUGUGGUAAACUCCUCCAAUGCGUCCCAUAGUGAUGUGGGCUGCCAUGCUCUCUCCUAGACUCCAGGUUGGUGCAUCAAAGGAAAACUCUAUAGGCUCAGUGACUGGCAUGAACGUCCUUCCGGGAACUUGAACUCGAAUCAUCCAACGCUCCUCUUCUGGUAAAGUGGCGAUGUAGGUCCCGGUGACGCUUGGUAUUCCAAUGUUCAGGUACCUAGUAACUUGCUUCAAGUGUCGUCCAAAAGGAGUGUCUUCAUCCGGUUGUGUAAACUUGUUCCAUGAGUCCGCCAUCCUAUAGAGUAGAAAAGGAGAGGAGUCAGAAAUGAGUGGAGAGGAGUGACCUAGGGUUUUAGCUUAGUGGUCGUGUCCUACAGUCAGCGUGUGCUCGGAUACCAUCUUGUAGCGACCAGACCUCAAACAAUCUAGUCUCUGUGCAUCAGUGUUAUCCCUGGACCGGUAAUGCUGACACGCAUAGUACUUGAGGAUUUAUAACAGAGUUUCAAUCACACACUUAUUACAACGAAUGUCUCAAAAGAGAACUUAUUAUAAUAAUAUGGCUUAAGGCGAUCUAAAAACGAUAACAGCGGAAGCCUUGGAAGAUAAAGUCAGUCCAUCAAACUCCAACGGCAUAGCUGAGUGAACGACAACGACCUAUGGCACCUUACUCGUCGUCUGAAAAGUCUGCAACAUGAAAUGUUGCAGCCCGAAA
This 8330-nucleotide long non-coding RNA is filed under the name Triticum aestivum (bread wheat). RNAcentral describes it as "long non-coding RNA (TAES_LNC000849)". The record is from RNAcentral. Lineage: Eukaryota; Viridiplantae; Streptophyta; Magnoliopsida; Poales; Poaceae.